This is a non-coding RNA of Xyrichtys novacula (pearly razorfish), 1105 nucleotides long. Lineage: Eukaryota; Metazoa; Chordata; Actinopteri; Labriformes; Labridae. The record is from the annotation of a GenBank genome assembly.
CUAUUACUUGAUUGGCAAGUAAGUCAUCUCUCUUUGUUGAAAGAAACGGUGUAAAUGUAAGCUAAAGUAGCAUUGCAAUUUAACACUAGCCUUGGUAAAUUAAACAGCAAAAUACGUGAUAUUUUUAGUUUAUCAGUUGUUAAGAUAUAUGCUAUUGUACUGUGAUUAAAAAUGAACAAAAUUCUGAAUGAACAGCAAAUAUUUAUGUUGUUCUCCUUUUUUUAGACAAAGAGAAAAGAAGCUUCAAAGAUGAGCACAACAUCAGCCACUGUGACCAGAAGUAAGGAUAAAAAUUCAUUGAGAUGGAUGCUGAUUUAGUUGGAUAUGAUUUUAGUCAGAAUUUUAUUAGGUAAUGUUAUAAAUAUUUGUUUUUGUGAUGUAACAAGAGCAAGCUCAAGUUUUCAAUUCCAAAUUAUAUCUAUUGUAAAAAAUAUUAAACAGCUUGUGAUUCAGCAUGAUGUGGAAUCAUGCUGAAUCACAAGCCAUGCAAGGUUUUGUAGGAAAAUGACUUUUUUUUUUUCUUUUAUUGUUCAAUACAUUUACAGAAAUCAAACAGCAGGACCUCCAGGAUCUCCAUCGGCAGUUCCCCACCGUGAGGAUCAUCUUCUCUGCCAUCACUCAGAGGAGCCGAUGGAGAUACAGCCCCAAGAAAAUGGACAAAGCCAGGCGCUAUGUGAACAGUGUGAUGGCUACUUUUGUUUCAUCUGUUGGCGGAAGCAUUGUGCAUCAUCCUCAAAUAAAGCACAGAGAUCCUGGCCUUUUUUUAAACGAUGGAGUUCAUUUCACCACUUUGGGUAAUGACAUUUUUUUAAAUAAUAGUGCCUUGUGUUUGAAAGACCAAAUCUAGUAGGGUGGUGCUAGAUUUGGGAUUUCACCUACAAUAGGCAGCAAAAAAUGGUCAGGAUUUAUCUGCUUUAUUUGUGAUUGAUGUGCACAUUUUGUUUAAUUGUUUACUCGAGCACAAUUUUGUGAAGUUUGUUUUACAAAGGUAACCAUCACACUGUUCAAUUCUGUCACAGCUCUUCUUCCUCCUUCUCUCUCUCUCUCUGUCCUACAAACUUUCUGCCGUACCCCAGCCAUUCCACCCGAUGGUCUUCCUCAAGGC